UUUGUUUCCAGGGGAUUUGACCAAUAUUUGUAGUGUUCGUAUUUUUUGUCAUCCAGAUCAUCAGCAAUUCCAUAUGAAAAAUGAGCACUACCACGCUUCAUCAACUUUGGUGCAACAAAAUGAAGAAGAUCCAAAACAGAUCCAGCUGUGUAAACUUUGUAAUCUGCAACAGCUUUGACACCUCCAAUACCCAUAUCAUGGUACUCAGUCCACACAUCACGGCAAGUGGAAUUGGCAUGACUUUUACCUUUAAGAGCAUCUCUGAAGUCAAUCCUCUCAAUCUCUGAUGAGUGCAAAUUAGCUACAUGCUUCCCAAAUGAUAUUAAUCUUCCAUACUUCACACGAGUAGCAUUAGCCGACUUUCUGGUCCUGUCACUCUCUGAUGUCUGGGUGCUAUUAUUCUUUGGCUUCUUUUCAUUACAUUCAUGGCCUUCUUCAGGGGACCAAUCCAGUCCACCCCAGAUUGUGUCCCCACCUUUAGGUAUCAUUG
Molecule: unclassified non-coding RNA, 490 nt
Filed under: Hevea brasiliensis (rubber tree)
Lineage: Eukaryota; Viridiplantae; Streptophyta; Magnoliopsida; Malpighiales; Euphorbiaceae
Source: RNAcentral